This 609-nucleotide ribosomal RNA is filed under the name uncultured Alphaproteobacteria bacterium. RNAcentral describes it as "bacterial SSU rRNA". It matches the Rfam family "Bacterial small subunit ribosomal RNA", at positions 8 to 653 of the family's 1533-position model. The record is from RNAcentral. Lineage: Bacteria; Pseudomonadati; Pseudomonadota; Alphaproteobacteria.
AGAGUUUAGUCCUGGCUCAGAACGAACGCUGGCGGCAGGCCUAACACAUGCAAGUCGAGCGAGAAGCCACCUUCGGGUGGGGGACAGCGGCGGACGGGUGAGUAAUGCGUGGGAAUAUGCCCUUUGGUACGGAAUAGCCCCUGGAAACGGGGAGUAAUACCGUAUGUGCCCUACGGGGGAAAGAUUUAUCGCCAAAGGAUUAGCCCACGUUGGAUUAGCUAGUUGGUAAGGUAAUGGCUUACCAAGGCGACGAUCUAUAGCUGGUUUGAGAGGAUGAUCAGCCACACUGGGACUGAGACACGGCCCAGACUCCUACGGGAGGCAGCAGUGGGGAAUAUUAGACAAUGGGCGCAAGCCUGAUCUAGCCAUGCCGCGUGAGUGAAGAAGGCCCUAGGGUUGUAAAGCUCUUUCAGAUGUGAGGAUGAUGACAGUAACAUCAGAAGAAGCCCCGGCUAACUUCGUGCCAGCAGCCGCGGUAAUACGAAGGGGGCUAGCGUUGUUCGGAAUUACUGGGCGUAAAGGGCGCGUAGGCGGACUGAUCAGUCUGGUGUGAAAUCCCGGGGCUCAACCUCGGAACUGCACCAGAUACUGUCAGUCUAGAAUCCCGGA